AUUGAACGCUGGCGGCAUGCUUUACACAUGCAAGUCGAACGGUAACAGGCCUUCGGGUGCUGACGAGUGGCGCACGGGUGCGUAAUGCAUCGGAACGUGCCCAGAGGUGGGGGAUAACGCAGCGACAGCUGUGCUAAUACCGCAUGUGAUCUGAGGAUGAAAGCGGGGGACCAAGCAGCAAUGUUUGGCCUCGCGCCUCUGGAGCGGCCGAUGUCGGAUUAGGUAGUUGGUGGGGUAAAGGCCUACCAAGCCGACGAUCUGUAGCUGGUCUGAGAGGACGGCCAGCCACACUGGGACUGAGACACGGCCCAGGCUCCUGCGGGAGGCAGCAGUGGGGAAUUUUGGACAAUGGGCGCAAGCCUGAUCCAGCAAUGCCGCGUGCGGGAAGAAGGCCUUCGGGUUGUAAACCGCUUUUGUACGGAACGAAAAGGCUCUGGCUAAUACCUGGGGCUGAUGACGGUACCGUAAGAAUAAGCACCGGCUAACUACGUG
This 492-nucleotide ribosomal RNA is filed under the name uncultured bacterium. RNAcentral's name for it is "partial 16S ribosomal RNA". It matches the Rfam family "Bacterial small subunit ribosomal RNA", at positions 29 to 507 of the family's 1533-position model. The record is from RNAcentral.